Molecule: long non-coding RNA, 5456 nt
Filed under: Homo sapiens (human)
Lineage: Eukaryota; Metazoa; Chordata; Mammalia; Primates; Hominidae
Description: LHRI_LNC629.1
Source: RNAcentral
UCUAAUAGUUUUUGUUGAUGGAUAUUUUUUGUUUGUUUGUUUCUUGUUUUUUGUUUGAGACGGAGUUUUGCUCUUGUUGCCUAGGCUGGAGUGCAAUAGCGCCAUAUUAGCUCACUGCAACCUCCACCUCCAGGUUCAAGCAAUUCUCCUGCCUCAGCCUUUCAAGCAGCUGGGAUUACAGGCACCCGCCACCACACCCAGCCAAUUGUUUGUAUGUUUAGUAGAGAUGGGGUUUCACUGUGUUGGCCAGACUGGUCUUGAACUCCUGACCUCAGAUGAUCCACCCACCUCGGCCUCUCAAAGUGCUGGGAUUACAGGUGUGAGCCACCAUGCCUGGCUGAUAUUUACUUUUUUAAACAUUUAAUUGUUAUUUUUGUAAAAAUAGAGAUGAGGUCUCACUGUAUUGCCCAGGCUGAUCUCCAAUUCCUGAGCUAGAGUGAUCCUCCAGCCUUGGCUUCCCAAAAUGCUGGAAUUACAGGUGUGAGCCACCACACCUGACCUGUUGAUGGAUAUUUAGUUUGCUUCCACCUUGUGACUAUUGUGAAUAAUGCUGCAGUGAACAUAGGUAUGGAAAUAUCUCUUCAAAAUCCUAUUUUUAAUUCUUUUAGUUAUAUACUUAGAAAUGGGAUUGCUGGAUCAUGCAGUAGUUUUAGUUUUAAUCCCCUACCUGUAUUUCCUGGAUUCAUCACCCAAAUAAACUAUAUGCUCCAAGCCUUUGUCUCGGUAUGUGCUUCUGGCAGGAACCUAAGCUUAAGCUUGUCACUUGCUUCAGGUUACUCAGUCAAUAAGUGGCUCUUCUGAAUAUCUAUUGCUGUAAAAUGAGCUGUCCCCAAAUCCAGUGGCUUAAAACAACACUUCGCAAUUACUUCUGCUUCUGUGAAUUGGCUGGGCUCAGCUGGGUGGCUUUCACUUGGGGUCUGCCAUGGCUGCAGUCAGGUGUUGGCUGGGGCUGGAGGGUCUGAAGGCUCGACUGGGCUGGAGGCCCACAGUGGCUCACUUGCACACUGGCCAUUGAUGGCAGGAAGCUCAGCUGAGGCAGUCUGCCAGAACUUCUGCAAGGGGUCUCUUCAUGUGGUGAGGGCUUCCUCACAACAUGGUGGCUGAGUUCUGAGCGUAGAGUCUCAAGAACAAACAUUCCAAGAGACAGGAACAGGCAACUGUUAAGGGCCUUGUCUUUAAAUGGCAGUGUCACUUGUGCCAUAUGCAUUUUAGAGCGGGGUGAAGAAAUGGACCCCCUGGUGGGAUGGGGCAAGGCCAUGCUGCAGAAGAGCAUGUGGGAAGGGAGAGAUUUUUGUGGCCAUCUUUGGAAGACACAGUUGGCCAUAGUGACAGAGGCAGUAUUCAGACCCAGGCAGUCUGACUUGAGAAGCUGAUUGCAACCUCUAUGCUGCCUCCACUUGAGAACACAUUCUGAGAAUUCUUGACGUUUCUAAGGGACUGGAGAGCCAGCAAUAAUGGCAAACCUAAGAAAUGCUAUUUUUGUUUAUUAUGACCUCUUUUUAAUGUCCAGACUGAUGUGGCUGGGUGAAUUACAGGUCUCAAGCAGAUUCCAAAAUGUAGAGACAGUAACCUUGAUGUUGACUUUUGGAAAAUUAUAGAGCAGAGCGUGACAUAAACUCAUUUGUGAACAGCAGGGAAAAAAAAUGCAGUGAUGGUGAGGUGGGAGAGUUUGGUGGGGAUGAGCUGUGCCCAGCUGUGGUGGGUGGCAUAAUGGCCCCCUAGAGAUAUCAGGUCCUAACCCUUGGAGCCUAUAAAUGUUACCCUGUAAGAAAAAUGGGUCUUUGCAGAAGUGAGUAAGAAUCUUGAGAUAAGAGAUUAUCCUGGACUCUCCUGUGGGCCCUAAAUGCCAUCACAAGUGUCCAUAUAAGACAGAGUUAGACUUGACUCACACUCAGAGAAGAAAGCCAUGUGAAGACAGAGAAGAGAAGGAUUUGAAGACACUGGAUGUGAGAAUUAGAGUGAUGUGGCCAUAAGCCAAGGAAUGCUGUAGCUCCCAGAAGCUGGAAGAGGCAAGGAACAGUUUCUCUCCUAAAGCCUCCAGAGGGAGCACAGCCCCACUGAUGGAUUGAUUUCAGUUUGGUGGCACUGAUUUCAGACUUCUGGUCUCCAGGACUGUGAGGUAAUAAAUUUCUGUUGUUUUAAGACCAAAAGUUCAUGGUAAUUAUAGCAACCACAGGCAACGAAUACACAAACCAACUUUCUUUUUAGACAGUACUGGAUAAUGGGGUAAAUAAAUUUGUGUCCAGCCAGCAUUUUAUGUUACUGUUUUUUUUUGUUUUUUGUUUUUUGUUUUUUUGUGAGACAGGGUCUUGCUAUGUUGUUUAUGCCAAUCUCGAACACCUGGGCCCCAGUGAUCCAGUCUCAGCCUCCUGAGUAGCUGGGACUACAGGCAUAGGCCACCACCCCCAGCCGGCAUUUUAAUAAAGGAUUGGCAAACUCACUGGUAAUGACGGUGUUUUUUGGUGGGAUUUAUGGCAGAUUGCACGUCUAUCAGCAAAGUGUUUGCCAUCAAGGAGUCCGUUGCCCUGGUGGUCAUGGAGUACCAAAGGGCUCUGUGGUGAGCUCUGCCCUAGCCAAUCAACGUUCAGUCCACUUUCUGGAUGAAGAUGGCAGAAAGUACAGGGUCAGAUGUGCAGGUGACACAUAUUGGAGGGAACAGUGAAAGUGACAGCCAAAUGGGAGAUGAAAGUGAUUUCGAUAGAUUGGAACUUUGGAGUAAGGCCAAGAUCAAUUGAUAUCAGAGAAAGUUAGGUUUUAAAGAGAAAUCUGGUGUCCAAGCAUAGAACCAGUUGAGGAGGUCUGGGCGGUCUGGGCGGUGUGUGUGAAAAGAAGCUCAGGGUUUCAGUCGCCACCAGCGUGGUGCUGUUUUUGUAAGGGGAACCUAAUUUGGGGCACUAUGGGACGAUAGUGUCCAGUUCAUAGAAGCAGAUGGUCCCAGGGUGAUCACGGCUGGUUGAAGCAUACUGAACUACUUUGCUUCAUUUUUAAUACCCCUCCCCUUUUUGAAAAUGUGUAGCAGGACAAUAUGGGAUCAGGAAACCAAGUGUUCUGACUCUGCAUUGUCUGCCCCUCCGUGUUCAUUCUCUGACCUCCUCUACUCUGACCCCAGGAGGCUGACCUCUCUGGACGAAUAUUAGCUAGCUAAUGCUGUGGAACAAAUCAUCCCGUGGAACAAAACAUAGUGGCCUAAAGCAACAAUAAUCAUUUAAUGUCUCACAGUUUCUGUGGGUUGGGAAUCCAGGAGUGGCUUCUGACUCAUGAGGUUGGCAUCAAGAUGCAGCUGGGUUUGUAGUCACCUGAAGGCGUGGCUGGGGCUGGAGAUGGCUUCCCACCACGGAUGAUGAGUUCGUGUGGCUGUUGGCAGGAGGCCUCAGUUUUUCACCUUCUGGACGCCUGCACAGGGCUGCUUAAGCAGCCUCACAACAUGGCAGCUGACUCUCGCCAUCGUGAGUGAUUCAAGAGAGAGCAAGAUGGAAGCCGCAAUAUCUAUGAUGACCUGGUCACAGUCUGUCAUUUCCACAACUGGUAACACAGGUCAGCCCUAUUUAAUGUGGGAGGGGACUACAUGAGGGCAGGAUUGCCAGGAGGUGGGGUGCAUCUGGAAGGCUGGCUGCCACAGGAACAGUGGGAGGGGAUGUGCUGUGGCCAGAAGAAAAUCAGGACAGACCAGAGCUGGAGGGUAUGAUCUGCCCCAACUCAGGUUGGCCAAGUUCAAGCCCCAGUUCCGGGAUGGAGAGCUCCAUGCCUUGGCCCUGCCAGUGGGACUUCUGCAUGUGCUGGGAGAGAAGAAAGGUUUCCUUUGAGCCCUGCCAGGAUCUUGUUACAGUCUCCACAGAGCAAGACUUCAGGGUCAGGGUGUUGCAUUAUGAAGACAGGAGCCGUGGAGCCUCCAGCAGGAGACAAUGGCUUCCAUUGAGAUAAUAUGACUUAACGAGGCCACAAGUCCACAGCCACCACUCAGGAAACAAUAACCAUUUCAAGAGGGCACAGGAGGUGUUACAGAGAGGCGUGGUGACACACCCCACCCACCGUGGCCUCAGAGAUGGUGCUAAGGGAGAAAGUUUGCUGGGAUUUGUCUGAAAAGGUCAGUUAUUAAAAACAGCUUCUGGCUGGGCGCGCUGGCUCACACCUAUAAUCCUACCAGUUUGGGAGGCCGAGGUGGGCGGAUCACUUGUGGCCAGGAGUUCAAGACAACGCUGGCCAACAUGGUGAAACCCUGUUUCUAAUAAAAAUACAAAAAUUAGCUGGGUGCGGUGGCAUGUGCCUGUAAUCCCAGCUACUCAGGAGGCUGAGGCAGGAGAAUCGCUUGAAUCCGGGAGGCAGAGGUUGCGGUGAGCCAAGAUCAUACCACUGCACUCCAGCCUGGGUGACAGGGCAAGACUCUGUCUCUAAAUAAAUAAAUAAAUAAAACAGCCUCUUAAAAACACAGCGGCUUCUGACCUUCAUGCACUUUGUUAUUGCUCAGGCCAGGGUGGUGCUUUCCUGAUUCCUUUUCCGAGUUUAUGAAGGCACCGUUACUGCUUAGCAUCAGGUGAGAAGAGAGGGGUACAUUAGGAAUUAGAAGAAGAAGGUUUGAGCAUGACUUGUUUGAAACAGUCAUGUGGGUCUCUCUCUGUUUCCCUGAUGUCUGUCUUUGAGAUCUUGUAUCCAGCAGAGCGCUGGCUGACAUCCUGUCCCAGGAGCAGAGAGUGCUAUGUGUGGGUCCAGCCAUUUGUCUGCUGGCAGGGGACUGGGGAUGGGCUUGGGCCUUGCAGUUGAGCAGAAUCCCACCCUCCACCACUGGGCCCUGGGGCUGGGCUUCUUGGUGUCAUACCUGGAAUUAGUAUCAGUGAAGUACUACUCUGCCACGAUGUCUCACAGCCAGGACGCGGAGAGCACAGAAAAAUCCCCAAAGAAGGACCUCCCUUGGAAGAUACUUGCCAACUACCAGGUCCCCCAAGACAGAAGGCACACGUGGGUAGACCUGGGUGUUCCUGAUGGGAGUGCCCAGAAAAGAACCUCUCUUGGAAAGAAGGACCCUGCUGAACCAGGGCUUACAGAUCAUAGUUCCAUGUGGAAGGCCCUCUGGAAUAUUUGUGAAGGCCAUUGGGGAGGACAGGCUGGAAUUUCCACCUGAGCUUAGCCACUUACAGAUGGUAUGACCUUUGUGAGUUAAUGCGUGUCUUCGUGGAAUGGCUGUCUGGCAUUCUGUGGCCUUCCGGUGCAUCUUUCCCCUUCCAGCAGCCCUCCAAUUUUCUUUUGGGGAACUAUUUGUCCUCUCCCUGGCUUGAACGUCAUCAAGGAGGUUGCUGGAGGGGAUGUCUGUGGGAGAUGCAAUUGACUCAAAGCCAACACAAGCUUGCUCCAUACCUUUAUUUACCUGAAUGUCUGGGGUCUGGAACAGCUCUGAGUGAGUAGAAUUUCCUGUAAGUGAAAUCAUAUUUUAAUUGCAGGGGGACAUUUGCUUUUUAAAGGGA